GACGAACGCUGGCGGCGUGCUUAACACAUGCAAGUCGAACGGAAAGGCCCUGCUUUUGUGGGGUGCUCGUGUGGCGAACGGGUGAGUAACACGUGAGUAACCUGCCCUUGUCUUUGUGAUAUCUUCAGGAAACUGGGGCUAAUACCGGAUAGGAGCUCCUGCUGCAUGGUGGUGGUUGGAAAGUUUCGGCGGUUGGGGAUGGACUCGCGGCUUCUCCGCUUGUUUGUGGGGUAGUGGCUUACCAAGGCUUUGACGGGUAGCCGGCCUGAGAGGGUGGCCGGCCACAUGAGGACUGAGAGACGGCCCAGAAUCCUACGGGAGGCAGUAGGGGGGAAUAUUGCAGAAUGGGCGGAAGCCUGAUGCAGAAGCGCCGCGUGCGGGAUGACGGCCUUCGGGUUAUAAACAGCUUUCGCAUGUGACGAAGAGUGAGUGACGGUAAUGGGUAAAGAAGCACCGGCUAACUACGUG
Molecule: ribosomal RNA, 468 nt
Filed under: uncultured bacterium
Lineage: Bacteria
Description: partial 16S ribosomal RNA
Rfam family: Bacterial small subunit ribosomal RNA
Source: RNAcentral